GCCCACUCUGAUUCUCGCCUUCAAGACUUCUCCAAAGCUUUUUUGUGGAACACACUUCCUUUCUCCGUUAGGCUUUCACCCAGUCUCCACUCCUUCAAAAAAAAUCUUUGAAAACUUCUUUAGGAAUGCAUAUCAAUUAAACUGAACAGCUUUCCCUCUCUGCACCAGGAUUCCUCUACUGCAACGGUCAUCAAUUGAAUACUAUCC
Molecule: non-coding RNA, 207 nt
Organism: Pelobates cultripes (western spadefoot toad)
Lineage: Eukaryota; Metazoa; Chordata; Amphibia; Anura; Pelobatidae
Source: the annotation of a GenBank genome assembly